This 407-nucleotide ribosomal RNA is filed under the name uncultured bacterium. RNAcentral's name for it is "partial 16S ribosomal RNA". It matches the Rfam family "Bacterial small subunit ribosomal RNA", at positions 28 to 526 of the family's 1533-position model. The record is from RNAcentral.
GACGAACGCUGGCGGCGUGCCUAAUACAUGCAAGUAGGACGCAGUUGCGAACGGGUGAGUAACGCGUAGGUAACUGCCUAUUAGAGGGGGAUAACUAUUGGAAACGAUAGCUAAUACCGCAUACUAGUAGAUGGACCUGCGUUGUAUUAGCUAGUAGGUAGGGUAAUGGCCUACCUAGGCAACGAUACAUAACCGACCUGAGCGGGGGAUCGGGCACAAUCGGACUGAUACACGGCCCAGACCCCUACGGGAGGCAGCAGUAGGGAGUCUUCGGCAAUGGGGGGAACCCUGACCGAGCAACGCCGCGUGAGUGAAGAAGGUGUUCGGAUCGUAAAGCUCUGUUGUUAAGGAAGCGGUACUUAACCAGAAAGGGACGGCUAACUACGUGCCAGCCGCCGCGGUAAUAC